GCCGUUGUUAUUAGGCGCGGCGAGGCGGGUGGCGCGCGGCAGCAGGGUUGGGCUCUCGCCGUGAGUCGACGAAGGGAGCGCGGGCGCGCGCCCGCGUCCGCGCACUGAGAGUCGCCUCGGCCGCUCGCUUUCUCGACUCCCGCCUCGCGCCUCGAUCCUGUUCCGCCUCCCUCGGCCCUCCUGCCCGCCCCCACUCGUCGGCCCUCAGGUUCCUGGAAAGUGAAAAUUUCAUUUCUUUGUGGACAGCUCAGAGACCUAAUAGGAUGGGGUCUUAGAGAAACAUCUUUUGAGCCACAGACUUCUUUGUUACCAGAAGGAAAAUGAAAGAAGAAAUUUAAAUACCACUUGAAGAGAGGUGAGAACCCUUUGUUAAGCUGUGUAACCUCUGUGCAUAGUUUCCUCAUCAGCAAAGUCAGAAAAAGUAUGUACCUGAAGGACUGAUUGUAAGGCUGGGAUGAGAGAAUCCAUGUGAUCAGCCCUCACCAACAGGUGCUGCCCAGUUCAUGAGUGCUGCUGCUGUCCUGCCCAAGUACCCAGCUUGCAGAGUGCCAGAGUUAGAGUCCCAGGGGUGUUCUCCACAGCUGCAUGCUUGAUCCAGGCCUAUCAGGUGUUAUUUGUUGACGGAACCAGGCAUCAUCAGCAAACAAAACUGACAAAGCUUCCUGCCCUCUGUGGAAGGCAUCUGAGGAAGAGACUGGAUUUUGUAGCAACAUGUUAUUCUCAUUAUAAACUUUAUCAUUGGAAUACUAAAGCCAAAUCAUCCCCCAUCUCCUUGAUCAGGAUACCCACUUAAUCUAGGCAGCUACACAAUUGUGAGAGCCUUUGUUUUUUUCUGCUGAAACAUCCUUAAAAAGAUACCUCACAACCCAAGAUUUGGCUUUUCUUAAAUACGAUUUUUAAUUUUUUUCAUUUCUAUCUAGAGAUUUAAUUGGAAAUGGAAAAUCAUCAAUUUUCCAAUUAAAUGUCUGUUCCAAUCAACAUUAUACCUUUUAGGUUGUCAUUGUCAUUUUUAAGUUUAAGCAACUUUAAGGAUUUUGAAUCUGGCUGCCUGUAAAUUAAAGGUGAAAGUAAUCAUUGUGUUGGAUUGGAACAUUUUGUCAAUUGAGAGUGGUUUCCUUGUUCUUAGUGUAUGAAAAGUUUAUUUUUCUAAUGUAGAUUAAUAAAGGAGAUAAAGAAAAACAAAAUGAGUGAUUUAUGUGUGUGAGAAAAGAACCAUUUCCUCAAGGAUUAAAUAAAAUUCAUACCUUUUGUUUCUUUUGAAAAGUUUUUAAAAUAAAUUUUAAUGAAUGUGUCCUUUAAAUAUUCCUUUAAAAAUGUAUCCUAUUUUAAAAUGGACUCUCUGAGAGAAGGAAUUGAUACCUGUGUUUAAAAUCAAAAAUAGCAUGCAUAGAGACUGUUUUUCUAGUUGGUUGAAGCUUUUUUCCCUCUCCUUUACAUCAGUGAACCAGCAUCUUGCCCUUCAGACCCUACAGCACACUCUUGGGCUCAUGAAGUGUAUGACACAUCCUCCUUGGGGGAUCGGCCAUGUCCUCGCUCUCAUGACCACAUGAAUUCUUCUGUAUGUCUUUUCUCACAGCUGAGUACUCUCUUCCUGACCCCCUUGUGGAAUGGGGAAAGGAGGCUGUGACAUUGUGCUUGUGCAAACAAUAAUUGAGAGCUUUCCGAGUCUCCUGCAUCUUCAUAAAUGAUUUUUUGUUUUAUGCUGGGACAGUAGUUCUUUAAAUAGAAUAUUCUCCCAUGGAAAUCGCCCACAAUGCUGAGAGUACACCUUGCAAAAGGUAAGUCUAGAAUAUAGGGUGCCUCCUCAGCAUUGCCCAGAAGCUGAAGUUAGGACUCUCUAGAAUACCAAAAACAAAUUUAUAGCAGUUCAUUAAUGUAAGGAAUUAUGAAAACUGUGUGCCACCAUUAUCCAUAGAUGAAACAAGAGCCACCACGCAAGCACAGACACAAAGCCCUGAAGAUGAAGCCAUUGACAGGGCUCUCAUUUAUUCUGUAGAAACCCACUUGCCUGUUUUUGAACCAGUUUUCUUUGGAGCAUAUGUCUCACUGUGCAACCAAAGUGGUGUUUAUAUCCUAGUCACUUGGCAAAAAUUCUGUCAUUGCUUCAGGGAGAUCCAUUUUAGGCCUGAAGCAUGGAGCUGGUAAUAGAUGGGAUUUGGUACUUCUGAAGAAAAGACCCUACUGCAAAUUUAGAGAGUUAAUUUUUUCUUUUGUUCCCCAUAAUAUUGUUGCUAGAUAGAACUACCUUUUUUGACUAGAAGUUAAAUAUAGAGGCCUAAAUCAAUUAGGUAACUCCCACUCAUUCUAAAUGAGAACAUGUUUGUUUUUCUCCAACGAGAUGAGAAAUAUUUGAGGCGCUUCCUGAUAUCUCUAUCACCCACUGCAUUUUUUCACUUGAUGUAUAUUUCCCCAUGUAUUUGGGAUAAUUUUCAAAUAAUUGCCCUUUAGAAAUCUACUUGAUAUUAAAUGUAAAAAAAAAGCAAGAUGCAAAAUUAUUAUAGGAUGCAUUUACAGAAAUUACAAAAUUUCUAUAAACUAUUUAUGGAGGAAGACUUAUAGAGUAUAUGUCAACACAUUGCUUUAUUAUUGUCCUUGGUUAUGAGUAUGGUUUUUUUGAAACCUGCUUUGUACUUUGGGUGUUUUCUCACCAUUGGUACAAUUGAGGCAUUUUUCCCUCUUCUUCAACCUUGCAAAUCACACGUGAGGAUGCUCAUAGAAGUGCCUCUCAGACAGGCUGUUGUUUUGCUUUCACCAAUAAAUCAUUUAUAAUUAGAAGUAGAAAACUAUUCUUUCCAGUGCAAAUACAUCCCUUUCAAAAGCAGUUCUCUUUUUGUGAAUGAUGUCUAGUGUCUAAGAAACGAGGGUAACCUUUAUUAUAUGCAUUGCUCUAAUCGAAGCAUUGUUUUUUGCGGUGAACUCAAGGUUACAUGUUUAAGAAAAGCAUCGGGUUAAUUCCAUUAGGAAAAGUGUCUUAUUCAUAAACCUUUAGCCACUGGAAAAACACCAUUAGGAGGCCACACAAGUGUGUAUAGCUGGAUAGAAUUUGACAACUGGCAAAACAAAACAAUAGCCUACAAUUGCAGAGUGCUGUCUGUUUAAAAACCAACAUAUCUUUCACCAACAAAUACAUAUUCACCUCAACACGAGACUUUCAUGUGGUUAUUAAUAUCAAAUUUUUGAAUGUCCAAAUUUUGGAGUGUAGUCUAGCAGAGGUAAACUGAUUUGCCUAAGGUCCUUCAACUGUCAGAGGUAGAAUUAUUUUCUCUCUCCUGGCUCUAAAACCUGUCCAGAUUCUCCUGCAACACUGUCCUUCAAAAACACACUUCCGCUGACUCCAGUGCUGGUGAUGUCAUGCUUUAGCUAGUAGUUAGAGGUGACUUAACUUUAAAUAUGGAAUCUUUUUUUCCUAUUAAGCAAUGAGGUUUAGUUUGAAAAUUCUUAGAGAUGAUAAACCCCUCUCCUUUUUUUCUUCCUUCUCCUCUUUUGUCCUGAACAAUGUUCCAUAUAUAUUACUGCCAGAAACAGAUUCUUGACAUUCCUGUUAUGCUUUUCCACAUCUUGUAAUCAUUUCUACAGCUGUUAGCAUUGCCAACAAUUAUAUUUCCACUUUUAAAAAAUUGUUACAAAGAUGCAGAGAGAAAAGAGGAAAGCCAAGGAAUAAACUACAGGCAAUUAUGGGAUAUUUUUGUGAUGUGACAUUUUGGGAACUGAGGCAGCAUCACUGAUACUGCACUACUUUUUAAUAUCUAGAUUUUAAUCUUUUGUAUGAAGAUAAAAUUCACAUGCCUUAAACCUGACCACAACAUAAUAGGGCAUUUAUUUUUCUAAUUUUGAUACCAUCCACAUUUCUUAACUAUAAGAAGAAUGCUUAUGUUGUACCAGGUUAUAUGAUGUUGCCAAGAAGUAGAUGUGUACCAUUUACUAAUACAUCCUUUUGGAAAAUGCGUAUUAAUAACAUAUUAAGGAGUAAAUUGACGUUGUGCAAAGUGAGCCUGUGAGUUUAAAUGUAUGGAUUGUACACCUUGCUCUUCCUAAUUGCAGAUUUAACAGGAUUUGAUGACCUAAUGAGUUUAUUUCUGAAUGAUUUAUAUUUCUUUGUCAGUUCAAUGAUUUAGUAUUUUAAAUUUUUUUAAAUCACAUUUUAUUGAGAUAAUGCUAUUAGUGUUUCUUUCCCAUCACUUAACAAAGUUAAGUCACUCCUCUCCCACCCCACUUUUGUACCUACCAAUGUUUUUUUCACAGUUACAGGCUGAUUGGCUUGACGUGUCUUAGGAUACCACCCAAAGAGAGCUUCAUUUUAUAAAUACCAAGCUCAUUUUCCUAAAUAUUUUCAAAAAGAUAGAUUUAUCCUCAUAUAGUAAAUUCAGAUUAAUAAUUUUGGAAAGGGUCAUGUGACCAUGGUAUUACAUGGCUGUGGAAGACCCUCCAAGAUCUUGUUUUGGGAUAGAAGGACUCAGACAUCCAAACUUUUAAAUUAAUGAACUUAUUAAAUUCUAAAACUUUGUAACAGUGUUAAUUUGAGAAGUAUAAUAUUUUGCUUAAGGUCUGUUUUGCUUUGCAAAAUGCAUCUCCUUCAUUUUCAUAUUAUGUUGGAAGCUUAGCAUGAAAGAACGUGCCUCAGAGGAAACCAUAGGUAAGCAUACUUUAACAAAAGUUAGUGUCAUCAUGUUUGUGUCUUUGCCUGUGGUUUUUUAAAUGUAUAAUGUUUAACGUUGAUUUGGCUAUCAAAUUACAUUUUCUUUUGUUAAAAAAUUCUGUAAAUUAGAAAUGUACUGAAUCAUUUAUUUAGCAGACUGAAGGUGGGUAAUGUUGGCUGAACAGGUUUAAGCCACAGUAAUUUGAAAAUGUAAAUACAUAAAAUAAUGUCAUUUCUCUUCCACUCAAUGUUUCUUCACCAAAUAAAGUCCAGCCUGCUCUGAAUUUGUUGCCAGUAGGAACAAUGUUACAGUGAAUCAUGGUUUAAUAUACCUUGAAAAUGGCACAUCUGUUCUGUGAUAGCUUACCAAUUUUAGCCUCUUUAUAAAAUACGAAGAGUUUGUCAACCAGAAUAAUCUAGAACCUGGCAAUUCAAAUACCAUUCAAAGCAAAUGUUUUAUCUAAUAACUGGAACUAAAUGUUAGGCCUCAUGACAGUUCAAUAUUUACUAAAUAAGUUUAAUAACAGGGUAAGCCCUCAGUAUCCAGAGCAGAGACAAGCACACCAUAUUUACACAUACAAAUUCUGCCUUUAGCCAUCUGAAAGGGCCCCGAACUAUUGCAGCAAGCAAAGAGUCUUUGCAUUGUCCUAAAAUCCAUACAAUACUUUAUAUUUUACACAUUUUAAUAGCUAGUUUAACAAAUAACAAGUACCAUGCUUAAUUCUCUGCAUGCAUUAUUUCAACUAAUUAUUGGAAUAAUCUUAUAAAGUGGGUACUUUCGUCUCAGCUUACAGGUGAGAAAACAAAAGUUAAAUAGAUCGCCCAGGGCUCUGCUGGAACGUGUUAAGCAGGGAUUUCAGCCUGUCCAGUCAGACCCCAGAAGUUGUGUUCUUAACCAUUAGCAACACAUCAUCCCAGGCAGGCCCUACAUGAGCCUCAUAACCAAUUUUAUGCUGGAUAGUAUUAUCCCUAUUUCACAGAUGGCAAAACUGAGGUCCAGAGACUUUAAGUGACCUACCCAAAAUUACAGUCAUGAGCAGAGGCACUGGAAUGUAGGGCCUUGACACUCUACCUCACGUGGUCCUCUUUCCUGUUUUGGGUAGUUCUCCACUACCACUACUCAUUUCUGAUGCUGGAAAGGCUGUGUUUUAUACAUUUCUGUUUCUGGCUUGGAACGAAACACUCUGGGUCUCUGCUUGAUCAGUGUCCCCUCUAAACUGCACCUCACUACAGUAGGGAUGGCAUAAGAUACUUCUUUACACAGCAUCUUUUUGUUCCCACCUCACCCCCAGAGCUGUAAUAGGUAGAGCCAGCCAAAUGUCAAAGGGAUGAUUUGUCUUGUCACCACUAGUUUCCCUUUUCUCUGCCUUGUAUGUAACAGGAAUAUUCUUUAGUUCCUCCUUAUGUUCUAAAGCACCUCCCCAACCUAAAAAUAGAAGAGGAGUUGUGGGUCAUUUACACUUUAGUGUGAAUUUGCCCUUGUGACUUUGCCAAGGCUGUUGUGCCUAACCCUUUCAAUCUAACAGCAGAAUGAGAGUCUCUGGACUAUCCUGGCUCCUUCCCUGAGAAGAAUGAACUGGGAAUUGUUGGUCUAGACAUCAAGACUACCAGAGACCUAUUGCUCAGAGAUGUUUGGGCUGUACAAUUUCUGUAGAUAUGGCAUCUGGAGCAGCCUUUUCUAAGCAAUGGCAUUAUCAUUCCAGGCUCUCUCGCUCUUUCCAUCUCUCCACCAGGUGGACUCUUGCCCUCCACCCCUUCCAAUUUGUCAGUGAUUCAGAGAACAUUCUCCAUCCUUCCAAUGAUUACAUUCCUUCAUCUUGCUGGGGCGCCAAUUCAGUGAUGGAGCGGCUCUUGGGAGCAGCCUUGGCUUAUAGUGCAGCUCUCUGCUACCUUCAACAGGCUGGUAUUCGGGGUGCUUAGAUGUGACUGGUUGUACGCACGUGUGUGUAUGUGCAUGUGUGUACAGCAGUAAGAGCUUUCGAGGUAGAUACUUGAGGAAGCCUCAGACAUCUAGCCCCAUUACUGGGGCAAUGUCUUACUUGGGUUUUUCCAGAAACAGACCUGGAGACCAGGAUUCAAGUGCCAGUGGUAUAUUUGGGAUGUGAACCCUGCAAUGCUGGUAGGAGAGUGGAGAAGUGAGGCAAGGAAAGGAAGGCCGUCAAGGGGCGUGUUAGGAGGUCAUUCACCACCGCAGGUAGCCCGCUGGGGACCUCUGGGAGCAAGUGUGGCGCACAAGCCUCAGCAUUACUGCCCUGUGCCUUGAGGAGUAAGGGAUAAGGAUUUUCCCCACCAGUUCCCUGUAGUCCUUGGUGAGAGCUUCUGGGGUGGAGGUUAAGGUCUUUAGGUCAGAGAAAUUUUCUUUAGUUUCGGAAAAAUCUUUCAGGCCGAGGUCCAGACACUCACUGGAACACACUGAAGUGGUUAGGUCCAAGGGCUGUAGGCAGAGCUCCCAUAUCCAUCUGCAGAGGUGUUUCAGGUGGAAGGAGUGGAGACAGCCUUCUCUGCUCCACACUGUCUUCAGCAAGGGUUUCUGUAUCUGUGCAUUGAGGAUUAAAUUAUUCACAUGGUCAGAGAAGCCCAUCACCACUGAUAGUUAUUGUAGGUAUGGAAAACUAACGACUAAGAAGGGAGAAAAAUAUACCAAGCAGUUGGCUUGGCUGAACACAAGUAAAGACUCUUACAGUCACUGGUGUGAACUGCUUAUUAUCAAUGUCUGAUUACAGUGCUGCAUACUAAUGAUUAUGCAUGUCAUUAAAUGUGUCAGAUUAACUUUGUUAUAAAAUUUAUGACAACAUUAAAUUUUAUUCACAUGCUCAGCCUUCAUAAUUUAUUGCUUAUGUAGCAUGGUUUUAACUUCAGAAAAACCUCCAAGACAGUGUUGUCUUGAUGACUACACUGCUUAUCCGUGAGUCUAGUUUUCCUGUUCAUUUGAAAUGUUCACAUUACAUUCAGCUCUGUCUCAAGCACUGAGACAGAGCUGGAAUCAGUGCCCAGCGAUUCCACUUGCCGAGUGAUUGA
This 7654-nucleotide long non-coding RNA is filed under the name Homo sapiens (human). Its description in RNAcentral is "HSALNT0230642". The record is from RNAcentral. Lineage: Eukaryota; Metazoa; Chordata; Mammalia; Primates; Hominidae.